This 66-nucleotide transfer RNA is filed under the name Priotyrannus closteroides. RNAcentral's name for it is "tRNA-Pro". Lineage: Eukaryota; Metazoa; Arthropoda; Insecta; Coleoptera; Cerambycidae. The record is from RNAcentral.
CAGAGAAUAGUUUAAUAAAAAUAAUAGUUUUGGAGACUGUGGAUGGGGAUUAUUCCUUUUCUCUGA